Long non-coding RNA from Gallus gallus (chicken), 711 nucleotides. The record is from Ensembl. Lineage: Eukaryota; Metazoa; Chordata; Aves; Galliformes; Phasianidae.
AAACAACCUGAAGACAGAUUCCAUAGAAGAACUUAUCCCCAGAUUUAUAUUCUAAUAUUUUUUUCCUUUUCCGCUGGAUGCAGGGUAGUAUUUCUAAAUCCAUAUUUAUUUACAACUUGCACUUCAGCAAACAGCUGCAACAUGAUGCUAGUCCUGAACCAAGAAGAUCAAGAUAGAGCCAGUGAGUUUCCCAGGCACACAUCAUCAGUCCCAACAAAAGGCUGGUUAAACUCUUGUGGAUAUUAAAAUUACAUCUAAUUUGGAAGGAAAUGCCAGAGCAUUGAGAUGUUAGACACUAACACUCAGAUGAGUACUUUCAUAAAUCUCCAUCUAGUUUGGUAUUCCAUCAUGAUGACACAAAAAGCCCAGAAUAAAAUAAGCCACAGAUAAAAAGGCCUACUGUUCAAGCUUUGACUUACAAACUCUCUCCCAAAUCUAGUCUAAAAGCAAAUGUAGAUGAUAUCAGCACCAGCUGUAGGUUUCAGAGAGGGCAAUGCAGUUAAGCAUGACCGUAGGAAGGAGGAAAGAAGCCAGAGGAUUUUCAGAAAAAAAAGCUGUCCUAAUUGGUUGGCUACAAUUGACUGAAAAAGAAGGAAGGAGGGGGAGAAAAUCAGGACAUGAGGAACAUGAAGACAAGAGGGAAGGAGUAUUUGUUCUUCCUCUGAGAACAGCUGAGCAUUUUCAUGUGCAGAGAAGUCCUUUGAUGGCAGC